GUUAAGCGACUAAGCGUACACGGUGGAUGCCCUGGCAGUCAGAGGCGAUGAAGGGCGUGCUAAUCUGCGAUAAGCGCCGGUAAGGUGAUAUGAACCGUUAUAACCGGCGAUACCCGAAUGGGGAAACCCAGUGUGACUCGUCACACUAUCAUUAACUGAAUCCAUAGGUUAAUGAGGCGAACCGGGGGAACUGAAACAUCUAAGUACCCCGAGGAAAAGAAAUCAACCGAGAUUCCCCCAGUAGCGGCGAGCGAACGGGGAGGAGCCCAGAGCCUGAAUCAGCAUGUGUGUUAGUGGAAGCGUCUGGAAAGGCGCGCGAUACAGGGUGACAGCCCCGUACACAAAAGCGCAUGUGCUGUGAGCUCGAUGAGUAGGGCGGGACACGUGGUAUCCUGUCUGAAUAUGGGGGGACCAUCCUCCAAGGCUAAAUACUCCUGACUGACCGAUAGUGAACCAGUACCGUGAGGGAAAGGCGAAAAGAACCCCGGCGAGGGGAGUGAAAAAGAACCUGAAACCGUGUACGUACAAGCAGUGGGAGCACCCUUUGGGGUGUGACUGCGUACCUUUUGUAUAAUGGGUCAGCGACUUAUAUUCUGUAGCAAGGUUAACCGCAUAGGGGAGCCGCAGGGAAACCGAGUCUUAACCGGGCGUUAAGUUGCAGGGUAUAGACCCGAAACCCGGUGAUCUAGCCAUGGGCAGGUUGAAGGUUGGGUAACACUAACUGGAGGACCGAACCGACUAAUGUUGAAAAAUUAGCGGAUGACCUGUGGCUGGGGGUGAAAGGCCAAUCAAACCGGGAGAUAGCUGGUUCUCCCCGAAAGCUAUUUAGGUAGCGCCUCGUGAAUUCAUCUCCGGGGGUAGAGCACUGUUUCGGCUAGGGGGCCAUCCCGGCUUACCAACCCGAUGCAAACUGCGAAUACCGGAGAAUGUUAUCACGGGAGACACACGGCGGGUGCUAACGUCCGUCGUGAAGAGGGAAACAACCCAGACCGCCAGCUAAGGUCCCAAAGUCAUGGUUAAGUGGGAAACGAUGUGGGAAGGCCCAGACAGCCAGGAUGUUGGCUUAGAAGCAGCCAUCAUUUAAAGAAAGCGUAAUAGCUCACUGGUCGAGUCGGCCUGCGCGGAAGAUGUAACGGGGCUAAACCAUGCACCGAA
RNAcentral lists this ribosomal RNA (1155 nucleotides) under Salmonella enterica subsp. enterica. RNAcentral's name for it is "partial 23S ribosomal RNA". It matches the Rfam family "Bacterial large subunit ribosomal RNA", at positions 1 to 1198 of the family's 2925-position model. Lineage: Bacteria; Pseudomonadati; Pseudomonadota; Gammaproteobacteria; Enterobacterales; Enterobacteriaceae. The record is from RNAcentral. RNAcentral also lists the same sequence under 1 other name.